RNAcentral lists this ribosomal RNA (443 nucleotides) under uncultured bacterium. RNAcentral describes it as "partial 16S ribosomal RNA". It matches the Rfam family "Bacterial small subunit ribosomal RNA", at positions 338 to 795 of the family's 1533-position model. The record is from RNAcentral.
CCUACGGGUGGCAGCAGUGGGGAAUAUUGGUUAAUGGCCGCAAGCCUGACCCAGCAACGCCGCGUGAAGGAUGAAGGCCUUAGGGGUGUAAAAUUCUUUUUUCAGGGACGAAGAAAGCGACGGUCCCUGAGGCAUAAGCCACGCCUAACUACAAGCCAGCAGUCGCGGCAAUACGUAGGUGGCAAUCGUUAUCCGGAUUUAAUGGGUGUAAAGGUCGUGUAGGCGGGACGGCAAGUCAGCUGUGAAAACCCCGGGCUCAACCUAUGGCCUGCCUUUGAAACUGGAAUUCUUGAGUAAUGGAGAGGUAGACGGAAUUCCCGGUGUAGCGGUGAAAUGCGUAGAUAUUGGGCGGAACACCAGUGGCGAAGGCGGUAUGCUGGACAGACACUGACGCUGAGGCGCGAAAGCGUGGGGAGCAAACAGGAUUAGAUACCCCUGUAGUC